GGAGGGUGGCGGGAGAGUAAGAUCUCGAAGCUUCGGAGGGUGCGGCCGACAUCCGGGCACCUGGGGCCGUCGAGCUGAGGCGCGCCUCGGGGCCCUGCUUGGUAGGGCUGCGGCCAUGCUGAAGUGCGGGAUGAGCGGCAGUCAGGUGAAAGUAUUUGGGAAAGCAAUCCAAGCUCUAUCACGAGUCAGUGACGAGCUGUGGUUAGACCCAUCUGAAAAAGGUCUUGCUUUAAGAUCUGUGAAUUCUUGUCGGUCAGCAUACGGAUGUGUUCUCUUCUCUCCUGUGUUUUUUCAACAUUAUCAAUGGUCAACCUCAGUGAAAAUGAAUGAUAAUGAUUCGACUUCAUCAAACUUAAAUUGCAAAUUGGGAAUGAAGUCAAUUCUGCCCAUCUUUAGAUGCCUGAAUUCCCUCGAAAGAAAUGUAGAGAAGUGCAAAAUAUUCACCAGAUCUGAUAAAUGUAAAGUGGUUAUUGAAUUCUUCUGCAGACAUGGUAUUAGAAGAACUCAUAAUGUAUGUUUUCAAGAAAGUCAGCCCUUGCAAGUUAUUUUUGAAAAGAAUAUGUGUUCUAAUACACUAGUGAUUCAACCAAGAGUGCUUGCUGAGGCAAUUGUUCUUUUCACAUCAAGUCAAGAAGAAGUUACUCUUGCUGUUACCCCACUCAGUGUUUGCCUUAAGAGUUCCAGUGACGAACCAGUGGAUUUGACCAGUUCUGUGUACAGUGAGAUGUUUGUUGGCCCAGAUGAGUUUGACUUCUUUCAAAUUGGAGUUGAUAGUGAAAUAACAUUUUGCUUCAAAGAAUUGAAGGGAAUACUGACGUUUUCAGAAGCUACACAUGCUCCUAUAGCCAUUCAUUUUGAUUUUCCUGGGAAACCUAUGGCUUUAAGUAUUGAUGAUAUGUUAUUGGAAGCUAACUUUAUUUUGGCUACAUUAGCUGAUGAGCCAAGUAGAGCAUCUUCUCCGCAGUCACUGUGUCUUUCCCAAAAACAAAAAAGGUCAGAGCCGCUGAGUUCAAAUUCAGAGGCUGGUAAAAAUGUAACCAGCAAGGCCCCAGAAUGUAUCCUGAGAAAAGUAGCACCUAAAAGGCUUUAUCCGAAGGAGACUCUCACAGAUGUCUCUGCACUGGAAAACUGUGGCAGCCCCAUAAUGAAAAGAGCGAAUGGAGACAGGAGUGAAGUGUCGGAAAGCAGCGUCAGCGACACGGAGGAGGUGCCGGGGCCUCCGUAUCUGAGGAAGCUGUGUAUUUUUAGUAAGAAUACAACAGAAUGACGCUGUGUUCUUCUACAUCAUAUCUGGAGGCACAUGAUGGAGACUUGCCUUGUGUGAUGCAGAGAAGAAUCUAAUGGAACUGAUGCCAAAAAAUUAUUUCUGUUAUCUGACAUAGAUCAGCAGCCUCCACUGCCAGGGACCCUAGGUUUGGAGUAAAAUGAAGUAGAUUACAAAUGUCUCUGUUCUUUGUCCGUCUGAGAAUCAGCUUCCUACCUGAACAAACAGACUAAAAAAUCUGGCACAAAACCAUUGUUAUGUAAUUUUACGCCUGCCUCUCCCUCCCCCAAACCUGUUUAGAGUCCAUGAUAACCUGACAAACUCUUGACUUCUGUAACAUCUUACUGUGGAGUCUUUGUGAACCAACACAUCACAAGGAAAUGUUUAACUGGCAAGCAGUUGUACGUUUUGUGAGGAUUUCAUACACAAAGGUGGCAGAGUGAAUUAGUAAACUUUAGAACUGUGAACAGAGUUCUAACUAAAACCAGAAUGAAUUUGGCUCUUGUAGCUUAGUCAAUGAGUCAGAGCUACCCACAAUAACCUAAUAAAAACUCAAGUUCAUCCCAAAAUGUUCCUCAGUGAAUGAAAAUGGGCUUUCACCAAGCUUUUUGUGGAAAUUGGCAAUGCCCACAUAAUUUCAAGUCCUUUCACACUGUAGGCUAAAGAUUUACAUAUCUUAUGCUUACACUGAUGAUUAACACUGAAAUUUCACAAAUUCCUAACGAUUGCGGAUGACUACAAAGAGAGCAGGUGUACCCAAGAGUAACCGGAGGUCUCCUUGCAGAGGAUGAAGUUUCUGGUUCGCUCACUGAAAUGGGCAGAGGGGUGCACGUUGUGAAGGCACCCUCACCAAUAAUUGCCUGGAUGCAGCACAAGUCUGGAAGAGAUAGUCACACUAUUAAAUUGUAUGUAAUUUGGGUUUUAUAAUUUGCAUACAGAAUGCUAAGUUUAAAUGACACCAGAUUUUUUUGUGGCUUCAUUCCAUACCAUUUUUGGAAGAUGCAAAAGCCUUCUCAGUUGGGAAAACAUCUAUAUUUUACAUUCAAUUAUCAGUCCAUUUUGAUGAAUUUUUGAGGCAGCUAAACUGAUGUAGUAAACCAGCUGGUGAAAAAGAGCUAAGUGGGAUAAACUAGUAAAAGACAGAAAAUGAUAGCUACAAAGUAAGGAGUACUGCUGGCAUGACUAAGAGCCUUGGAAAUGAGGGCUUGACAGAGACCCACAAAAUGCCAAGGGCUGGUGUCUUACGUAGUUAAGGUUCAAAUUAAGAGGAGUUAACACAGAUUAGUAUAAAUACUAUAUUUAUUAAAUAUCUUUACAGUUUAUUUAAAUGUAUUUACAGAACUAUUCCUGCAUAAGUUAUAUUUCAGACAUCCAAUUCAGGUCAUUGCCUCUUGGGUAAGACAAACAAUGAUAGUCUCAACAGAAAAAAGCAGCUCAUUAGUAUACACAAAUUCAAAUUUGCUUCAUUAUUUAGCCAUCUUUGCCACAAACUACCUGCUAACAGUUAAAAUUUUGCCAUGGACACUGUUGAUGUUUAGUUUGAGAAGUUCAGUUUUGCAAAGAAUUUGUUUUUAGCAAAUAGAAUCCAAAUCCUUUUCUGCUUCACAUUUUCAAUUUUAUAAGUAGAUUUUGCUUUGUUUUUCAUAUUGUAAAAUUUUUUCACUGCAAAAUGUGAUAGUUUCCAGGGAAAUUGGAUGCUGUAGCUUCUACCAAAGAUAGCUGGUAUAAGGUGACAAGGAACCAUGAACUUAUUCCAGAGGACAAACAUUUACAGUUCUAGCCAAUCUUGUUUACAAUCUCCAAAACGCUCAAAACCGACUCAGUGAAUCCCAACAACUCCUGCCUCGUUACUCAAGGUGGUGGGUUGGUGCUACUGAAGGUGGUACUGAAGGCUACUGUUCUAUCCAGAACAAAUGCAGCUGACAGGAGAGGACACACUCCUAUCACGCAAAGCUUAAAAUCUAGUUUCUAAUCUAGACACAGCCCGCCCCCCCAGACAUGCAUACCUGGAAUGGAUUCUUUUGUGAUUUAGUACCUAUCAACCACAUCAAGCCAGGACAGUAAUUCAGGACAAAUAACUUGUUUCCCCCACCCCCAUUUCUUCUUUCAGUUUUGAAGAGCCUAUGGAUUCUACUGCAUUAUCCAUUCAGUAAAUUUUUUUGUGCGCAGGCAGCUUAAGUUCACAGGAAGAAAUAAGGUUCUGAUAUGUUUAGAGUGCACAUUUUAAAACAGAAUAAAAUAAAAAUUUCAAGCAUGUGAUAAAAAUA
Felis catus (domestic cat) is the source of this 3531-nucleotide RNA transcript. It is a transcript of the gene named RAD9 checkpoint clamp component B, with no coding region annotated. Lineage: Eukaryota; Metazoa; Chordata; Mammalia; Carnivora; Felidae. The record is from RefSeq and is a predicted model, not a curated record. The transcript has 12 exons.